UUAAACAUAAAUAGUUCAGGAGAAGAAGAUGCGUAGGUAAACUUUUCUCUAGGGUAUUGUGAGACUCAGGUCAAUACCCUAGGGCUUCGGGGUCUCCUCCUCUGUAGCCUCCUGUGGAGCUUCUGAAAGAUAGCCACAAGGGGAAAACCCUGAGUACGGGGUACUCAGCAAGUCUUACCCGACUAACCAAUAUAAUAGUUUUCUUUGGAAUGCAUGUCAGCCUUUUGGGUGUGCUUGGUUGACACAACUUUUGCCGAAAAAGCUUACUACAAGUAAGGCCUUAGUUUUAUCUUUUAUUUGAGUUAAGUCAUUACCUAACCAUUCUAAAUGAUAACAAAAGUAAAAGCAACCAUAGCUGUUAAAUCAUACAUUUAUUGACAACAGGAGAUUAUAUUGCAUGAAUUAAUACUACGAUGCUCAACAGUGAUCAAGUGCAUUCAUAACCGAGAAUUGCGGCGAUCCGGAUCUAAUUACAUCCUGCAGGAGAGUACUCUGAUCACCAGCAUUAUACGACUGUCCAGGUUGUAUCUAACAACCUCUCGAUUAGCAAAGUCAAUGAUUAGGAAUACGACUACCCGGACCCAGGGAUGCACCCCCACAUGGGACCCCACGUCUGGCCCGAUCUCCAUGUGAGUUUCAGGCUACACCCCUGCCAAUCUCCAGCACGUCAAGCGCGGGUACGAAGCAUUCCUGAUCAUAGAAUUUACUAAUCUACUGGGCUUUACUGGUCCCAUACCCAGUAAGUGAUCAGAUGCUUAUCACUUGAUCAAAAGUUAAGACACAAAUCGGGCCUUAACCAAAUUAAUCUAGCAGACAGAACUAUAUCUCUAGCUUCUGUCCGCUUUCAAAUUUCCAAGCUAUCCUUCAUAAGCAACAUGUAUGACUUAGGAGUUUUCCUUAAGGUUGGUAAACCAAGCAUGUAAGCAAGUAAGCAAUUCUAGACUUGGGUAGUUUCUAAGGUUUGAACAAGUGGCAAAGAUGUCCUUAAAUCAAGGCAUGAUUAUACACAAGAAUAGGUUUCAAGCAACGCCUAGACUUAGUGCAUACAUAUAGCAAUUAACCUACAACUAGUCACAUGAAAUAACGACUCCAAAAUAGAUAGGUAUAAAUGCACCGGGGCUUGCCUUGUUCGCUAAAAAGAUUAGUAGAAGCUGACGGAUUGGCUUCACAGGGAACAAACUCAAACACUUCUUCGGAUUCCGAAGGUCCUUCUGAGAAUUCCCAAUAAUCUUCUUCCGGUGCUUCGGGAUCUACG
RNAcentral lists this long non-coding RNA (1255 nucleotides) under Setaria italica (foxtail millet). Its description in RNAcentral is "long non-coding RNA (SITA_LNC004591)". The record is from RNAcentral. Lineage: Eukaryota; Viridiplantae; Streptophyta; Magnoliopsida; Poales; Poaceae.